This 63-nucleotide transfer RNA is filed under the name Vibrio cholerae. Its description in RNAcentral is "tRNA-Met". It matches the Rfam family "tRNA", at positions 6 to 65 of the family's 71-position model. From Rfam's summary of the family: Transfer RNA (tRNA) molecules are approximately 80 nucleotides in length. Lineage: Bacteria; Pseudomonadati; Pseudomonadota; Gammaproteobacteria; Vibrionales; Vibrionaceae. The record is from RNAcentral.
GAUGGAGCAGCUUGGUAGCUCGUCGGGCUCAUAACCCGAAGGUCGUUGGUUCAAAUCCAGCUC